Molecule: ribosomal RNA, 253 nt
Filed under: uncultured bacterium
Lineage: Bacteria
Description: partial 16S ribosomal RNA
Rfam family: Bacterial small subunit ribosomal RNA
Source: RNAcentral
UACGUAGGGUGCGAGCGUUAAUCGGAAUUACUGGGCGUAAAGUGUGCGCAGGCGACCGAGCAAGUCGAGUGUGAAAGCCCCGAGCUUAACUUGGGAACUGCGCUCGAAACUACUUGGCUAGAGUGUGGCAGAGGGAGGUGGAAUUCCACGUGUAGCGGUGAAAUGCGUAGAGAUGUGGAGGAACACCGAUGGCGAAGGCAGCCUCCUGGGCCAACACUGACGCUCAUGCACGAAAGCGUGGGGAGCAAACAGG